Molecule: long non-coding RNA, 2089 nt
Organism: Hipposideros armiger (great roundleaf bat)
Lineage: Eukaryota; Metazoa; Chordata; Mammalia; Chiroptera; Hipposideridae
Exons: 3
Source: RefSeq, a predicted model, not a curated record
ACAAAAGCCAAUGAGUCGCCUCCCUCCCUGGGUCCCUCCCUUUCUCGGGAGGUCUGAGAGAUGCCCAGCGUGGGCUGUGGAUCCGGUCGUGGGAAGCAGGUGCAGGGGCCUGCAGGGCUGAGACCCGCUGAACAUGAGCAGCCUGCCCUGUGUUCAGAGCUGUGGAGAAACAUGUGGACCCGAGACUUUGAUGAGACCCCAAACUCAGAGCUUCCACUGUCUGUCCCCAUGGGACCAAGGGGCACUCAGCCCUCCCCACAAAGGUUGUCAAUAUCUUUACUCAAAAUAGUACCCAGUGUUGGCCCUAAUGCCCCUUGAAAGCAAGGGCUGGGCUGGGAGGGGGAGCACAGGGAAAUGUUCCUGGUUUGACCUUGAAUAAGUGAUUUAACUGCCCUGGGCCUCCUGUAUGGAAUGCAGGGUUGGAUUAUGAUUUCACAGGUCCUGACAUCCUAUUAUUUUGUUUCUGCCUAAAAUAAACAACGAGAAAAAGAGUGUGAGCGAGACUAUGACAGCAGGACCCAUCUGUUUCCGAAAGAGCUUAGGGCAAGCUCUAGAGAGAGAAAGUGAUGUUUCAGCUUGUGCCCCACGCUCAGCUUCCUGCGCCUUGGCCAUCCACAAAGCUAACUUCUAGGAUCUGAGCUGACUCCUCUGGAGACCCCAGACUCCAGUAAUGGGCUUCUGGAACCUGCUCAGGCUGCUAUAAGUCCAAUAACAGCCUGGGCAUGGGGAGGGCUACAACACCCAGCCUGACUAACUGGGAAGCUGAGGAGACUGGAAGUUCGUGAGAGACAGCUUGAGAGUAAGUGGAGAAAGAGAACAGAGCGAAGAAACAUGGCUGGCCUCCCAAACAACUGCAUGAUCUCAGAGAAGACAAAGCUUGUCUUCCUGACUCCAAGACUCAUUUGUAUCCAGCCACUGGACUCUCUAAUUAUCUGCCUUUCCUAUGGGGGAGAUCUACAGUAGGAGGCUGGAUCCCAGGUAGUGAAGGACCUCUAGAAGUAGAAGUUGCUAGUCAGGGGGAUAAAUGACUGAGAUCUGACCAACCAGAAGAAAAGAAAGACUGGAAUUCCUUGCUCCUGGGUCUGUCUGUCUUUUUCUAUGGGUCUCUAUUUAUUUCUUGGGUACUUAACAUGCUCUGCUUUCCACCUCCUAGUUUUCUCAAAGAGACCCAGGCUGGUAAAAUCUGGGCACCCACUGCCACUCUGGACUAGCAUUUCCUGCACGCUGAUGAAUGCCCGCUCCAAAAAGUCUCAGCACAAGGUUGGCCCUGUCUACCAGACCAUCCCCUGCCCAUCCCUGUCUCCCCAAGCUCUAGCCCUCAUCAACAGGGACUCAAAAACCUGCCUCUGUCAAGUGAGUCAUGGGACCAGAACCUUGGGAGAAGACAUGCAGAGCCAGCCACUCAAAAAAUUGUGAAAUAAAAUGAAUUCCCGCCAACCUGCUCCUUCCCUUGGGUUCCUUAAGCUCGGCAGGUUGCACCACCUUCCACCAGUUUUCCAGAAACUAAAAGUCAUCCUUGACACUCAUCCAAUCUGCCACUUCCUAUUUAUCUCCCAAAUUUAUCCCUACAAUCUCACCAUCCCCACUAUCACUUGCCAUCCUGGGGCCUUUUGCAUAUCUUGCCUAAAUUACUGAAAUUUCCUCCCAGCUGGUAAUCCUGGAUUUGUAUGGCCCUUCUUCAUUCCAUCCUCUCCAGUUUAGCCAGAGAUAUAUUUCUAAAAUGCAUAUGUGUGAAAUCAUUUCACUUGCCUGCCUGCAUUUUUCAUUAUCCAUUCACUACCUAUAAGACGAAGUCUGAGUUCACGAGUGAGAAUGCAAAGCUCUCUGUCAGCUCAACCCAGCCUGUCUGCCACCAUUUCCCUGGUCUCCAGCCAGAACAGUGACAGUUCUCUAAACAGGUUCUGCUGGACUUCCAUCAAUAUGGAGUGGUGAAACUGGUGCAGCCACUAUAGAAAAAUGUAUGGUGGUUCCUCAAAAAUUUAAAAAUAGAACUACCAGAUGACCCAAUAAUUCCACCUCUGAGUAUGAUCUUAAGUCAUUAUCUCAAGAAGAUAUCUGUAACCCCAUGUUCAUUGCAGUAUUAUUUACA